This 298-nucleotide small nuclear RNA is filed under the name Sorex araneus (European shrew). RNAcentral describes it as "7SK RNA (ENSSARG00000018167.1)". It matches the Rfam family "7SK RNA". Rfam says of the family: 7SK was discovered as an abundant small nuclear RNA in the mid-70s but a possible function has only recently been suggested. Two independent studies have found that 7SK RNA binds the CDK9/cyclin T complex (known as elongation factor P-TEFb). Lineage: Eukaryota; Metazoa; Chordata; Mammalia; Eulipotyphla; Soricidae. The record is from RNAcentral.
ACACUGUGCUAUGGCUGCGUCAUUUGUCACCCCACUGAUCGCCAGGGUUGAUUUGGCUGAUCUGGCUGGCUAGGCGGGUGUCUCCUUCCUCCCUCACUGCUCCAUGUGUGUCCCUCCCGGAACUGCGCUUUCGGUUGAAGAGGAUGACCUUCCCCAGUAUAGACGAACAAAUCGUCCGUCGAGGGUAUACAAGUAGCUGCGCUCCCCUGCUAGAACCUCCAAACAAGCUCUCUUAUGCACUUGCCAUAAAAGAAAACCUUCUUGUGACCAUCUACAUUUUGAUUCUAAAACUGUAUCA